Molecule: ribosomal RNA, 594 nt
Filed under: uncultured Corynebacterium sp.
Lineage: Bacteria; Bacillati; Actinomycetota; Actinomycetes; Mycobacteriales; Corynebacteriaceae
Description: bacterial SSU rRNA
Rfam family: Bacterial small subunit ribosomal RNA
Source: RNAcentral
UGGGGAAUAUUGCACAAUGGGCGAAAGCCUGAUGCAGCGACGCCGCGUGGGGGAUGAAGGCCUUCGGGUUGUAAACUCCUUUCGCUAGGGACGAAGAUGUAUUUUGACGGUACCUGGAGAAGAAGCACCGGCUAACUACGUGCCAGCAGCCGCGGUAAUACGUAGGGUGCGAGCGUUGUCCGGAAUUACUGGGCGUAAAGAGCUCGUAGGUGGUUUGUCGCGUCGUCUGUGAAAUCCCGGGGCUUAACUUCGGGCGUGCAGGCGAUACGGGCAUAACUUGAGUGCUGUAGGGGAGACUGGAAUUCCUGGUGUAGCGGUGAAAUGCGCAGAUAUCAGGAGGAACACCAAUGGCGAAGGCAGGUCUCUGGGCAGUAACUGACGCUGAGGAGCGAAAGCAUGGGUAGCGAACAGGAUUAGAUACCCUGGUAGUCCAUGCCGUAAACGGUGGGCGCUAGGUGUAGGGGACUUCCACGUCUUCUGUGCCGCAGCUAACGCAUUAAGCGCCCCGCCUGGGGAGUACGGCCGCAAGGCUAAAACUCAAAGGAAUUGACGGGGGCCCGCACAAGCGGCGGAGCAUGUGGAUUAAUUCGAUGC